This 253-nucleotide ribosomal RNA is filed under the name uncultured bacterium. RNAcentral's name for it is "partial 16S ribosomal RNA". It matches the Rfam family "Bacterial small subunit ribosomal RNA", at positions 524 to 776 of the family's 1533-position model. The record is from RNAcentral.
UACGUAGGGUGCGAGCGUUAAUCGGAAUUACUGGGCGUAAAGCGUGCGCAGGCGGUUUUGUAAGCCAGAUGUGAAAUCCCCGGGCUUAACCUGGGAAUGGCAUUUGGGACUGCAAGGCUGGAGUGCGGCAGAGGAGACUGGAAUUCCUGGUGUAGCAGUGAAAUGCGUAGAUAUCAGGAGGAACACCGGUGGCGAAGGCGACAUCCUGGACCGGUAUUGACGCUGAGGCGCGAAAGCCAGGGGAGCAAACGGG